RNAcentral lists this long non-coding RNA (888 nucleotides) under Marmota monax (woodchuck). Lineage: Eukaryota; Metazoa; Chordata; Mammalia; Rodentia; Sciuridae. The record is from RNAcentral.
GGGCAGCCAUGGAGGCUAUUGACCGGGGCGCACAGACAAGGGCCGCAUUCAGGCCCACCGCCUGGUUUCCAAUGAGCUCAGCUGCUCCACAGCUGGGGCCAGGGACAGACUCGCACCCCACCCGCCAGGCCUGUUCUCCCCACUGGUAAACAAGGGGGCAGGGGCCAGGGGGGCAGGCUCUGGGUACCAGGGGAGAAGAACCUGAAGUCAUGCCAAGCUUCCCGAGAAGGCCAGGAGCCCAGGUACAGGAUAGAGGAAGCUGUCAGGGCUCAGGACCCUGGCCAUCCCCUGCUCUUCUGCACUAUCCGGGACAUAGUUACUGACCACUGCCCUGAGGCACAGUGUUUCUGAAAAUUACAUUUGAUGGUCAAAAAACUUGGGAGUCUUUGGAGUGAAGAAGAAUAGAGGGGAACCCAGAGACUGGGCCCCGAUAUUUCUGGGGCUUCGAGGGGCUACCGGGGGACCCUGUGCCAUGGUUAGUGGAUGUCAGCCUUUCCUCUGGCACUGCUGAGUCCUGAGUUCUUGGGCAGCUCUGGACUGGAUGAAGAAGCUGAGGACAGGCAGACAUCAAGGACUGGAGGACCCGUUGCCCACUACCUAGCCAAGCAUGGGCACAUGAAGGAAUUGCAUGAGGGUCUUACGGAAGCUCAGCUCUGACAGGAGUCUGGGGAAGAGCCUGGGCCUCUGCAUUUCUCACGGCCCCCAGGCUGCUGGUGCUGCUGAGCCCUGGCCCACCUCAAGCAGCUGGCAGGAGAAAGUGAGGGUGGGAGGCCCCUGGCAGAAACAGGGAUGUAUGCAUUCAGGGAUGUACAGUUUGUUCUGAAGAGUGUCAGGGCUGGAGAUGGAAAUGGGAGGGAUGACCAGGAGGGAGGGAUGCGCAAGGACAGG